Xenia sp. Carnegie-2017 is the source of this 104-nucleotide long non-coding RNA. RefSeq lists it as uncharacterized. The transcript is spliced from 2 exons. Lineage: Eukaryota; Metazoa; Cnidaria; Anthozoa; Malacalcyonacea; Xeniidae. The record is from RefSeq and is a predicted model, not a curated record.
AAGAAAAUUGUGAACCUAAAGAACGGAAAGAAAAUGUCUGGUGGGAGUCAUAUGUUUUCCGAGUCAUCCGACUACAAAUGCACCCCUGUUGUUGGUACAAAGGA